GUCCUCGCACCGGCCUUCCUUAGGCCCGAGCGCCAGCGGGAAGGGUCGCCGGGGCCUGUGGCCGGGUAGGGGCAGCGAGAGCCAGAGCCGAGCCUUUCAUCAGUGGAUGGAUACUUAGGUUAUUUUCCAUUUCUCGGCUAUUGUGAACAACGCUGCAACAAACGUGGGAGUGCAGCUUUCUGCUGAUGCACCCAGGAAGUCAACAGAAGAUGACCCAAGUGCUUGGACCCUUUCCUGUGAGAGACCUGGAUGGAGUUCCUGGCUUCUGGUUUUGCCCUGGCUCAGAUUGGGCUUUUGUAGUCAUUUGGGUAAUGAACCAGUGGAUGAAAGAUCUCCCUGACCCUCCCUCCUUCUCUGUUGCU
Long non-coding RNA from Lepus europaeus (European hare), 362 nucleotides. RefSeq lists it as uncharacterized. The transcript has 3 exons. Lineage: Eukaryota; Metazoa; Chordata; Mammalia; Lagomorpha; Leporidae. The record is from RefSeq and is a predicted model, not a curated record.